This 912-nucleotide ribosomal RNA is filed under the name Xiphinema primum. RNAcentral's name for it is "Xiphinema sp. 1 MMM-2019 partial large subunit ribosomal RNA". It matches the Rfam family "Eukaryotic large subunit ribosomal RNA", at positions 176 to 873 of the family's 3401-position model. Lineage: Eukaryota; Metazoa; Nematoda; Enoplea; Dorylaimida; Longidoridae. The record is from RNAcentral.
ACUUCGGAAGCUCCCUCGAACGGGAUCCCGAAGCGGGUGCGAGGCCCGUACCGAGGUCGCGCCCGUCGGUUUGAGCCUCCGUAGAGUCGGGUUACUUGAGAGUGUAGCCCAAAGCGGAAGGUAAACCCCUUCUAAGGCUAAAUACGACCGCGAGACCGAUAGCGAACAAGUACCGCGAGGGAAAGUUGAAAAGAACUUUGAAGAGAGAGUUCAAAAGGGCGUGAAACCGCUUAGAAGAAAACGGACGGAACCGUCUGACGCCCUCGGGAAUCAGUCGAACGACGCGCGAACGCGUCUCGAUCGUCGGAGCGUAAAAGUCCGGCUCGAGGCGUCUAGUAGUCGCGUUUGUAAGGCGCAUUUCUCGAGGGUUAGCGCCGCGACCGAUGCGAACGGCCGACGACGCCGUCGAGUUGAGGUCGAACGCCCUUCGCGGGUAUUCGUAACCAGCUCGUUCGGUAGACGUAUAUAUUGUCGGAUCUAUAGGAGCAUCGAGCGAAUACUAUAAAUACGUCGGCGUAAAACGCUCGACGAGCGGCGGAGACUCGGCCAGUCGUUCGGUACCUGCUCGCAGGUGCUCGUUCGGCGCGAGGUCGUUUCCCGAUGUCGCCGUCGACGCUACCGACGUUUAGGCGUCCGCGGCGUCCGAGUCGGCCACCCGUCCGACCCGUCUUGAAACACGGACCAAGGAGUCUAACGUACGCGCGAGUUAAUGGGUGGAAAACCCAUAAGCGCAAUAAAAGUAAAAGUCGUCCUAAGACGGCCGAGGUACGAUCCUAGACUACGCGUCUAGGCGCAGUACCGUCCCGUCCCGACCGCACGUCGGUAGGGCGGAGAUUGAGCGCGUUCGUUGGGACCCGAAAGAUGGUGAACUAUGCCUGAGCAGAGCGAAGCCAGAGGAAACUCUGGUGGAGG